UUUGAUAUACCACUUACACCAGGAAAGCCAACUAGUGCAUCUUUAACAUCGUUGAGUUCAAUCAUUUCAAGAACUUCUGCAACAAAUUCCUGUACUUAAAGAAGUUAACAUCCUAGAAAGUAAUGAAGCAUUCUGUGAUGAAACAGGUAGUUUUUCUUACUACAUGAGACCUCUCUAUUUGUGUGUACUUGAGAUUUAGAGCCAUUUCAAAUAAAUUUUUGUUACUUUAUGCUUCUUGUUCCAAAAACUUGGUGAAAUACUCUAAUAUUAGUGAAAGUUUCAUUAGAUAUUAGUAGAUUUCAUAAUGAAGUGAAAAUGAAUGUUCAGACCCUUCUUCUUUUAAUAGCACACGUAGUCUAGCUUGAUCUUGAGAGUCACAAGUUUAUCAGACAUUUAGCUUCUAUUGUUUUAUCGAGUUACAAGAAUCUUACAGAUUUUUUGCUUUGAUGAAUCUGAGCUGGCAAACGUAACCAAGCAGAGUAAGUGAGUGAUUCUUCUAUAGUAAUCUGUGGAGAAUGGAUAUCAGUUUGCUCGCAAUAACCAGAUAUUCUGGCAUAAGUAUCCUGGACCUUAGGGUAACCUCCAAUUCUUAUAUUUCCUUCAAUGAUACCACUACUUUUGCGUCCAGAAAGAACAUCCAAUAGUGUUGUCUUCCCGGCUCCACUAACUCCCAUUAAAGCUGUCAGAAUUCCAGGCCUAAAUGAUCCUGUAAUUUCAUGAAGUAGCUGUAGUCGUGUUUGUUCAUAACCUUGCUCUCUCAUUUUCUGUAAGGUGCAUUGAAGACAUUUGAUCAGUACGAGUCAUUUCCAAUAACCUUGGAGUUAAUAUAGAUUGAUAAACCACCACCUUAGGAGUUUCAACAAAAUAUUCAACAUUCUCGAACGUUAUUGUCAUGGGCUCAAAAGGUAAAACCAUCCCUGUUGGAUAAAGAAAAUAUCUGUUAAUAUUUUUUCUUUUUCCAAAUAUAUAGAACUCUGUUUGUGUAGACAUAAAUUUUUUUUGAAGUCAUUGACGUUAUCUACUGUUCACAUCCAACAAUUAUGACCAACUUAUUACCUGUAUACUAUUAGUUUCUUACCCAUGUAUUUUCCUUCUGCAGGAGCUUUGGGAGUAGCUGUAUGAGGCCAUUUGCUUGCUUGAGAAACUUUGCUCACAUCAUUUUUCACUCUUAAUUUGGAGGGCAUUUCAUGUGACUUGCUAGUCCGGGAUCUCCCAGGAGCUGAACACUUAAAAUUUUUCAUCAGAUGCAGGUUAGAGGGAAAAAAAAUACUUUACUUGCUUCUAUGCAAAUUUAUAUUUAUAUAUGUACUUUCGGUUUCUCCAUAUGGAUGUGAUUGAGUAACUUACUCUUUGAAAACCUCAAUGCACAAGUAAACCCGGCAUUUAGAAUAAUCCAAAAUCCUAGCAAUGCACCAAUUGAUAUCCAAUAAAAGGUUUCAGUAUAGUUUAGUCCACGUUUUGUUAGAACUUGUUGGCCUAUUGUAGCAUUUGAAGAUGAGACCUGUAGAUAGAAUGAUGAGUGAGCAUUCGUCAAUGUAACAGAAGCAAAUACACUUUCAUUAUAAUAAUAACGUAUAUUAGAGUUCCAUCCCACCUUUUGCCACCUUGGAGCAAGGAAUUCAUUCACUGAAAUUCCAAUCUCUGCAUAUGUUAUUGGAGAAAUCCAAAAGCCCCAUUCCAACCAAACAGGCAUUGAGGCUGCCACGAGGAGUGGUUAUUAGUUAAUUAGUUAGAGAAGUGCAAACAUCAUUUAGGAAUGAAAUCUUAGAUGAAGUCAUCAGUGGCCUCACGUUGUGGAACCACAAAGCCACAAAAUAAAAACAUCAGUAAUAAGGUGAAGAGACCACAGAAGGUAGCAACAGAUUGAUUGCGGAACACGGAAGCUACCAGGCGGAAUAAUGAUAUUGAUACUUGAUGUAGAAAAAAGAGGAGGAUUAACUGGUGUAAAAACCUGAAUGAGGGCAUAACAUCAGUACUUGAAAAAGGAAGAGAAGCUUUUCACAUAAGAAAGGCAUCUCAUAUGAAAUCGCACCUUUCUGGUUCAGGACUGUAACCUAUCACGUAAUAUGUAAGCGCUGUCCAAAGAAAAGCAUCUAGAAAUGAAAAUGGAAUCUUUAGAAUGGCUGCUGGAAUGGAAUAAGCCCAUGCAGGGUAAAAGUAGAAAUCUCUUUGCUUGUAGAAGACAGGUAGUCUGGAAACAGUCAUAGACAACUCUGGGAUUCCAUUGGUCAUCAGUCUAAUAACGGCAUAAAAUAGUGAUCCCAUGAAAGUAUUUGCAUGGAUAGCAUCAAUUUCUGCAUGUGUACGUAUGAAUACUGUCAUUGUUAUAAGUGCGACAACCACAAGCUGCAUCAACAAAACAUUCAGACCAAUAAAAGGCUUGUAAAUUUCUUAGCCCCUCAGUUAUGAACGGACCACGUUCAUGCAAUUCUGACCAAAUUAUUCCAUACCUGUGCAGAUUUGAAUGCAUGAACGAAUGAGUUACGUUUCAUAAGAAGCCAUUCUCUAGACAUGCAUGCCUUGAAUAGCUCCCAAUUUCUCAGUGAAGAUGUGUUAAAUGACAACGCUUUCUUGCGAAGAACAGUUUUAUCAAUAUGCUGUGAGAGUUCUUCAUCCAAUCUCUGUCCUAAAUGAAAUUCCUUGAAUUUUCUUGCCAAUUCUUCUGUAGAAACAUAAAUUGAAGGUUGGUCCUCAUGGUACCAGUAUUGUGCUUGAUCUUUUUCAGAAACUACCUGUAGAGGUGUAGAUGCUUAGGUGCAUCAGUUUGAAAUCCAAAUGUGGAUAUGUUAGCAGCUAAAUUAAUCCGAGGCAUAACGUACUUCUUGGAGAAAGUCGGCAAUGCCUUUCCUUGGUGGGCACCUGAAACCACAAUUCUCAAAGAAUUCUAAAACAUUAUCUCGAGGCCCAUGGUAUAUAAUCGUUCCUUCAGCCAUCAAGAUAAUGUCAUCAAACAAAUCAAAUGUUUCUGGGGCUGGCUGAAGAAGUGAUACCAAAAUUGUGGAUUCUGUAAUGUGCGUCAACUGCUGAAGACAAGUAACAAUCUGAAAGGUGGUUGAAGUAUCUAAGCCAUUUGAUAUUUCAUCCAUAAAGAGAACAUUGGAUGGACCUAUCAUCAUCUCUCCUGGUAAAGAAAAAGAUCAAGGGAAAAUUGUUGUGAUGAAAAGAAAUAAAUAUAUAUAUAUAUAUAUAUAUAUACACACACGCGCACGCACAUAUAUACUGAUAUUGAUAUAUUCAAUUGUUCGCAUUUGAGUAAGGUCAUAGCUAACCACCUAACACUUGGUUUUCAGCUAUCAAGAAUUAAAGAUUCUUUAAGAAACUAUUUUGGGUACUGAUAUGGACAUCAAUUUGUAAAUGCACUUCAAAAUAAAUAGGAUAAUGAUAUAUAAUGCGAUUUUAUAUGUCGACAUUUUAGUUUCGAGUUACGUAGAUAAUUAUGGUUGGUAUUAAUUUAACGACAUAUCUAAUAUGGUGGGCCAAUUUUAUAAUCCUUCUCAAUUCCAUGUAUUGAUAUACGUCACAAUUGUAAUUCUGCAAAAAAAACUCUCACAAUAUAUAGCAGGACUCAAAUAAAUAUGGACUAUAUAAGUGCCUGUUACAGCACCUGUUGUCAGCCUUUUCUUUUGACCACCUGAUAUUCCUCUUCUCAUGGCAUCUCCCACAAUUGUAUCGGCACAAGUAUCCAAUCCAAGUAUCUGAGUAGAUCAGUAGACCCAUUACAUGGUAUUAGAAAAGUUUCCUGCUGAGUAAGAUAUAUGAUGGUAGUAGUUGAUUCCUUAAUUUGUUGAAGAGAUUAAUUACCUUCAAUAUAUAGUCCGUCUGAAGAGUCCUUUUUAAUCCUUUGAUGGCAAUUUCCUGGUAGUUCAGUUUUCCAAUGAAGAUAGUCAGUAGGAAAGUGGUAGCUACAUUUACUUCAAAGAACAUAUGGAGAUUGUUCCUUGUUUACCUUCAUGUAGGUGUCAAUGUCUGGAUCAGGGAUAAUUCCAGCUCCUUUCUCCCUUUUGCGGACUUCCGCCAUGAUUUCUUCAUUAGAAAACAAUCACCAUAUCAAUCUUAAAACUCAAGGUUACAAUCAUCGCGUGAAUAUUUUUGGAACAUAGCUUACCUGCUCUGUUUCCAAUGCCCUGACAUCUUACUGCAAAAUCGAGAGUUUCUCUUACAGUCAUUUCAGAAAUGUGCCGGUCAUAUUGGCUAAUAUAAACUGAAGUCUUCUGAGGAACAAACUCAUUUAACUUGUAACCAUUGUAAGAGAUGUUUCCUGUGACCUAAAUUAUAAGAUUUUGCACUAACAAUGAUCAGCAAUUAUGUUUGUCUGAUUAAUCAGAAGUAUAACUAAAGCUGUGACUGUAAGUUAGCAUUACUGUCUCAUAUAUUUUGAAAAUCUUAUAUGGGUAUUAACUGUUUUCUGAUUUCUUUCAACAAUCAAAAAGUAUAAUCAAAAGUUGUGACUUUAAGUCAGCGUUAGUUUCUCAUAUUUUGAAAAUGUUCUACUAGUAUUCACUGUUUUCUGACUUAUACUAUCAUUUAAUUUUGCAGUAGCGUGAUGGGAGCGCAGAAAGAACCUUGAGAUUUUUGUCAAUUUUUCCUGCGAGCGCCAACAGCAAAGUGGUUUUCCCACAGCCUGGAGGCCCAAGUAAUAAUGUCAUCCUGCCAAAGAGUAAGCUAUGAGUAAAUCUUGUUUACUAAUGGAAUUUCUUGAAUUUCUUAAAAUUUAUGUUGUACUUCUGCACGACUCUAUGAAACAGAAAUUUAAGAUCUACCUUGAAGGCUUGAUGAUUCCUCUGACAUCUUGAAGAAUUUUGAUAUUGUUUGCCUGAGAUUUUUGUGCAAUUAUAUUUGUGAUACCCUGUUCAAUAUUGACAGCUGAUUCUAUAAGAAAAUAUGUCAAGCUAUGGCUGAAUAGGCAUGUUUGCACAAAGAUGAGGUAAAAUUAAAAAAAAAAUAAUUAUUUGUAGCAGUAAGAAAGAGUUUAAGCUUUGCUUUAAAUUUGAACCUCGAAAAAGCAAUGAAACACCUUUUAUCUUAGAAGAAAUAGUAAUCAAGAAAAAAGAAGGGGGAAAAAGCUUCCCUGCUCUUCUAAAACAAAUCUCUCACCAAAUUUCCGUCCCCCUAUUUUUUUUCUCUCUUAAAACUUAAUAAGCUGGUUGGAAGCAAUAGCGUAGUCUUUUCAAAUAACUAAUGGAACAAGUAGUAGUUUUAUGAAACAAAAAAAUAUUGGAACCACGCUAAAUGUUUUCAUAGCUUAGAUUGUGCAACCCUUUAUUCCGUUGAAGAAUAAAUAUGAAUCUGAUGUUCUGAACUAGACUUCUUGUCAUAAGAGGUGGCAGUUAGUUGUUUGAGUGACUGCCAAGACUGGUUUCCUUUGAACUUUACAUACUCCUGGAUUCUAUGUCAAGUUUGUAAUUACAAAAAAGGAGGGGGUGGAUUUGACUAUUGAUAAUUGUUUAGAGAUUAAGAAAAGGGUAGUAACAAAACUUACUGAGAAAAUCCAUUUGAGAGUGUUCCAUAGAGUAGGCAGAGGCUUCCCAUGAACCACUUCACAUUCUGCUUCUACGCAUAAAUUUUGAUACCUUACUUCCACAGUAGGUAAUUCCAGACCCACUCUAAAUAGGACAAACAAAUUGGUUGCGUGAUGCAUGCAUAUAUGAAUACAUUUUUGCCUACAAGGAAUGUAAAUGUAUGAUUUUCAAAUGCGUUUGCAGUGCAAGUAUGAUGUGUGUUCCUUGGGUAGGUUAGGAGAGGUUGUCUCAAUUAUUAUUAUUAUUAUUAUUUUCUCUCAUCCGCUUAAUGGCCCCAUUCAGGAUUUUAGAGAACUGUUAAGGAAACCAUUCGAAGCUCGUGGGAAGAGAAGCAAUAGUGUUGAAGACAAGCUGGCUAAGUUAGGACAAGGUAAUAGUGUUGCAGAAUUUUGGAAGUGGUUAAUAUGAAGUUUAUUUUGAGGUAAGUUGGGCAAUUGACCAAUAGAAUAUUGACACGCAUGCGAGGUUGUAUGUAUGUCAAUAUUCUAUUGACCAAUUGACCAACUUACUAAAAAAAUAACUAAAUGCUAACCGGAUCCCAGAAUUUUGAGUAGUUUUACUGCUAAUUUAAGUCUUUGGGCUGCUAUCUUGUGAAAGUAGAUUCAUUAACCUACUCUUUUCUUCAAUUACCGUGUCAAUUUGGUUCAUGAUGAUACUGCUCUUG
Molecule: long non-coding RNA, 6183 nt
Filed under: Panax ginseng (ginseng)
Lineage: Eukaryota; Viridiplantae; Streptophyta; Magnoliopsida; Apiales; Araliaceae
Description: long non-coding RNA (PGIN_LNC015365)
Rfam family: MIR6135 microRNA precursor family (bases 5924-6045)
Source: RNAcentral